Molecule: ribosomal RNA, 233 nt
Filed under: uncultured eukaryote
Lineage: Eukaryota
Description: partial 18S ribosomal RNA
Rfam family: Eukaryotic small subunit ribosomal RNA
Source: RNAcentral
GGAGGGCAAGUCUGGUGCCAGCAGCCGCGGUAAUUCCAGCUCCAAUAGCGUAUAUUAAAGUUGUUGCGGUUAAAACGCUCGUAGUUGGAUCUGCGGCCUUGAAGGACGGUCUCCCGAAAGGGUAGUCACUGUCUCUUCUAGCCUAAAUUCAAGUUGUCUCUAUGUGCUCUUUAUUGAGUGCUUAGAGCGACUAGAACGUUUACUUUGAAAAAAUUAGAGUGUUUAAAGCAGGC